Molecule: long non-coding RNA, 489 nt
Organism: Belonocnema kinseyi
Lineage: Eukaryota; Metazoa; Arthropoda; Insecta; Hymenoptera; Cynipidae
Exons: 4
Source: RefSeq, a predicted model, not a curated record
CUAUAUAUUCGGUUUGUGUUUCCCGUUCCCGUUCUUCAUUUUACUAUUCCGAUGACUGCAAAGGGGAAAGUGUUCCUAUGUCUCUGUCACUGUACAAAUCUAACGUUAUAAUCACAGGAUAAUCACUUUUAAUUUUCAAAUAACACGCCAAAUUGGGCUUGGGGCGGAAAAGAAUUAAUGGUGGGAGGUGGUAAGGAGUGGGGUGUCCUGCUUUUCCUACCCAGUCAUCUGGUCACCCUGGUUUUGAAUAAAAUUAAAUAUUUCAAAUGAACCGUCAUAGAUAGAUAAUUCACGACCAGAAAUUUCAGCAGCUAAUGCAUGAAUAUGCUCAAAAUAAAGGCGAUUCGAAAGGCAUUAUGGCAGAUGGUAUUAAAGAUGCACGUCCGAGCACUUUAAAAACAAAUGACAAUGCACGUCCAUGGUCUUCAAAUGAGUACAGUGCGUUAAAAAUUACUAAUCAUCUGCGGCCGAAAGCAUAUCCAUCGAAAU